UCGAGAAUCUUCGGCAAUGGGCGCAAGCCUGACCGAGCGACGCCGCGUGUGGGAUGAAGGCCUUCGGGUUGUAAACCACUGUCAGAGGGGAGGAAAUGCGUGGGGGUUCUCCCCCAUGUUUGACCUAGCCUCAGAGGAAGUGUGGGCUAAGUUCGUGCCAGCAGCCGCGGUAAGACGAACCACACGAACGUUAUUCGGAAUCACUGGGCUUAAAGGGUGCGUAGGCGGCGCGGAAAGUUGGGUGUGAAAUCCCUUGGCUUAACCGAGGAAUUGCGCCCAAAACUACCGUGCUCGAGGGAGAUAGAGGUGAGCGGAACUUAGGGUGGAGCGGUGAAAUGCGUUGAUAUCCUAAGGAACACCGGUGGCGAAAGCGGCUCACUGGAUCUCUUCUGACGCUGAGGCACGAAAGCUAGGGGAGCGAACGGGAUUAGAUACCCCCGUAGUCC
This 446-nucleotide ribosomal RNA is filed under the name uncultured bacterium. RNAcentral describes it as "bacterial SSU rRNA". It matches the Rfam family "Bacterial small subunit ribosomal RNA", at positions 355 to 796 of the family's 1533-position model. The record is from RNAcentral.